Pecten maximus is the source of this 1709-nucleotide RNA transcript. RefSeq lists it as uncharacterized. NCBI's taxonomy places the organism in Eukaryota, Metazoa, Mollusca, Bivalvia, Pectinida, Pectinidae. The record is from RefSeq and is a predicted model, not a curated record. The transcript is spliced from 6 exons.
UAUAUUGAGGUUAAGCCUUCAAGCAAAUUUUGUCAAAUUAUAAUGUACAUGAUUUACAUAGUGAUGAGAUUGCAGGCAGUUAAAAGCGUAUAUGGGUACGAGAGGAGAUGGACAGCAGAACCAGUAUGCUGGACUGUCGAUUUCAAAAAAUUAGAUGGAUUCGUAUUUUACUGCUACUGACCAUGUUGUCGUUGAUUGGAGUUAAUGUACAUCACGUGUUUACAGGUACAUAUCAACAACGUGAGGUGAUGAUCAAAUUGAACCAAUCCAAAGCUGUACAACAUCACAUAUCUAAAACUGUACAACAAGGUACAUAUCAACAACGUGAGGAGCUGAUCCAAUUGAACCAAUCCAAAGCUGUACAACAUCACAUAUCUAAAACUGUACAACAAGGUACAACAUCACAUAUCUAAAACUGUACAACAAGGUACAUAUCAACAACGUGAGGAGCUGAUCCAAUUGAACCAAUCCAAAGCUGUACAACAUCACAUAUCUAAAACUGUACAACAAGGUGCGGUUCAGCCAAACAACAGAGCAGCGUUUACUUCCGAACCUUGGAAAACUAGAUUGGCUACAUUACAGCGGGGCUGUGCAUCAGGAACGGACGGGUACAAGCUAACAUCUAAACAAGUGACACAGCGGUAUUACAAUUCUGACCGAGCUGGUUUCUCCGUCUGUAAGGUGCCAAAGGCUGGCAGUACAUUCUGGACAAUCGUGUAUGUGAUUUUGGAAAAGAGAAAAUCGGCAGAAAAGGUUUUCUCGAUGCCGAGAUUCUCUUUGCACAACAUAGGUAACAACAUGGGGUCCCACCAGCCAGCAAUAGGCUCCACGUUGAAUAUAAUCAUUUCACGUGAACCGUACUCAAGGCUGUUUUCAGGUUUUAUAGAUAAGAUAUUUUUACUUGAAAGAAACACACAUCUAAAACGAAACAAAAACUUUCGUGUUCCUUAUUCCGUAAACGGAUUCGCAUGUGGAUAUAAUACAAGUUUCUCGGAAUUCCUUGAUACUAUUACCGAACAAGCUUUUAACGGAGACAAGAUUAAUCGACAUUGGUCGCCAGUCUAUCUGUUAUGUGAUGCGUGCAAUGUAGCCUACCAAGCAGUUUCUUACACGGAGACUUUGGCGGUUGAUGCCAAAUACAUUGUGGACCAUUUAAAAAUUUCCGAUACUGAGAAAACAUCUUUUAGGGAAAUUUUCGAUGGACAAGAAAUGAACAAGAAUAUUAGAGCAAUACUAGCAGAAUCGGGCCGUGGGAAGAAAGCGCGAAGAAACAUUUGUCCGGAUCGAAUAGUAUAUGUAUAUCGACUAUGGCAAUCCCUUCAGAUACAGGGCUAUCUACAUACACAAAGUACAUUUCCAUGGGAAUUUUUCAAAAAGGAAACGAAUUUGAAAGAAAAUGUUGUCAUUAACCGGAUAACUGACGCGAUGACAAAGCGCCCUGUAUCGAGCAAACGAAGGGCGUUACAACGGCGUGCUGCCUUGGUAUCUGCAUACCAAACUGUAGGAAAAGAAACUAUCCGACGUGUUCAGCAAAUGUUUAUGAUGGACUUUCGUUUAUUUGGUUAUGAUAUGAACCCUCCAUCGUAAAUGCUGCUUGAUAGUAACACUUCAUAAUUCCCUCACUUAAACAAAAGCUCGCCAUACGCCAUAGUUGAACUUCAAAUAAGUUUCACUUCAGCUUAGUAUAAAUUGGACCCCCCCCCCCCCCC